RNAcentral lists this non-coding RNA (44 nucleotides) under Trichobilharzia regenti. Lineage: Eukaryota; Metazoa; Platyhelminthes; Trematoda; Strigeidida; Schistosomatidae. The record is from RNAcentral.
AUCAGAUGACGAGUCCCAAAUAGGACGAAAUGUGCAUCCUAGAU